This 73-nucleotide transfer RNA is filed under the name Armillaria ostoyae. It matches the Rfam family "tRNA". Rfam says of the family: Transfer RNA (tRNA) molecules are approximately 80 nucleotides in length. Their secondary structure includes four short double-helical elements and three loops (D, anti-codon, and T loops). Lineage: Eukaryota; Fungi; Basidiomycota; Agaricomycetes; Agaricales; Physalacriaceae. The record is from RNAcentral.
CCGAUCUUAGCUCAGUUGGAAGAGCGUGGGACUGUAAAUCCCGAGGCCGUGCGUUCGAUCCGCACAGAUCGGA